UACGUAGGGUGCAAGCGUUGUCCGGAAUUAUUGGGCGUAAAGAGCUCGUAGGCGGUUUGUCGCGUCUGCUGUGAAAUCCCGAGGCUCAACCUCGGGCCUGCAGUGGGUACGGGCAGACUAGAGUGCGGUAGGGGAGAUUGGAAUUCCUGGUGUAGCGGUGGAAUGCGCAGAUAUCAGGAGGAACACCGAUGGCGAAGGCAGAUCUCUGGGCCGUAACUGACGCUGAGGAGACGAAAGCGUGGGGAGCGAACAGG
This 254-nucleotide ribosomal RNA is filed under the name uncultured bacterium. Its description in RNAcentral is "partial 16S ribosomal RNA". It matches the Rfam family "Bacterial small subunit ribosomal RNA", at positions 524 to 776 of the family's 1533-position model. The record is from RNAcentral.